AACGAACGCUGGCGGCAUGCCUAACACAUGCAAGUCGAACGAGACCUUCGGGUCUAGUGGCGCACGGGUGCGUAACGCGUGGGAACCUGCCCUUAGGUUCGGAAUAACUCCCCGAAAGGGGUGCUAAUACCGGAUAAUGUCUUCGGACCAAAGAUUUAUCGCCUUUGGAUGGGCCCGCGUUGGAUUAGCUAGUUGGUAGGGUAAAAGCCUACCAAGGCGACGAUCCAUAGCUGGUCUGAGAGGAUGAUCAGCCACACUGGGACUGAGACACGGCCCAGACUCCUACGGGAGGCAGCAGUGGGGAAUAUUGGACAAUGGGCGAAAGCCUAAUCCAGCAAUGCCGCGUGAGUGAUGAAGGCCUUAGGGUUGUAAAGCUCUUUUAACCGGGAUGAUAAUGACAGUACCGGGAGAAUAAGCUCCGGCUAACUCCGUG
This 433-nucleotide ribosomal RNA is filed under the name uncultured bacterium. RNAcentral's name for it is "partial 16S ribosomal RNA". It matches the Rfam family "Bacterial small subunit ribosomal RNA", at positions 29 to 507 of the family's 1533-position model. The record is from RNAcentral.